CGGAGGGUGCUAGCGUUGUUCGGAAUUACUGGGCGUAAAGGGCGCGUAGGCGGCCGUUUGCGUCGGAUGUGAAAGCCCGGGGCUCAACCUCGGAACGGCAUUCGAUACGGGACGGCUGGAGACCGGGAGAGGAGAGUGGAAUAGCCAGUGUAGAGGUGAAAUUCGUAGAUAUUGGCUGGAACACCGGUGGCGAAAAGCGGCUCUCUGGCCCGGUUCUGACGCUGAGGCGCGAAAGCGUGGGGAGCAAACAGGAUU
RNAcentral lists this ribosomal RNA (255 nucleotides) under uncultured bacterium. RNAcentral's name for it is "partial 16S ribosomal RNA". It matches the Rfam family "Bacterial small subunit ribosomal RNA", at positions 526 to 779 of the family's 1533-position model. The record is from RNAcentral.